Gossypium raimondii (Peruvian cotton) is the source of this 1332-nucleotide RNA transcript. It is a transcript of the gene named prohibitin-3, mitochondrial, with no coding region annotated. NCBI's taxonomy places the organism in Eukaryota, Viridiplantae, Streptophyta, Magnoliopsida, Malvales, Malvaceae. The transcript is spliced from 4 exons. The record is from RefSeq and is a predicted model, not a curated record.
CUAAUAAUAACCCCCACUUGCCCAAAAAAAAAUCAAAAAUCCCUGUCAACCGGCAGAAAGCAAAUCAAACAAGGAAUUCCAGAAAAAUGGGAAGCAAUCAAGCUGCAGUGUCUUUCUUAACCAACAUCGCACGCGCAGCUUUUGGCCUCGGUGCCGCUGCAACUCUCCUCAAUGCCUCCAUGUACACCGUGGACGGUGGCGAAAGAGCUGUAAUCUUUGAUCGUUUAAGAGGAGUGUUGGACAAAACGGCCGAAGAAGGUACCCACUUUUUGGUCCCAUGGCUGCAGAAGCCUUUCAUCUAUGAUAUCCGUAUGAAGCCUCACACCUUCUCAUCUAUUUCCGGAACCAAGGAUCUCCAGAUGGUUAAUCUCACUCUUCGAGUCCUUUCUAAACCUAAGGUGGAUAAGCUUCCUGAAAUUUAUCAACGCCUUGGUCUUGAGUACGAUGAGAAAGUGCUUCCCUCCAUUGGAAAUGAGGUGUUGAAAGCUGUGGUUGCACAGUUCAAUGCUGAUCAGCUUCUCACCGAGCGUCCCCAAGUGUCUGCAUUGGUCCGGAAUUCACUGACACAGCGUGCGAGGGACUUUAACAUUGAGCUAGCCGAUGUAGCGAUUACACACUUGUCGUAUGGUGCUGAAUUCUCAAGAGCAGUGGAGCAAAAACAGGUUGCACAACAGGAGGCAGAGCGGUCGAGGUACGUUGUGGCGAAAGCUGAUCAGGAAAGGAGGGCUGCUGUUAUCCGAGCAGAAGGUGAAAGUGAGGCUGCGAAGUUAAUUUCGGAAGCAACUCUGACUGCUGGUAUGGGACUGAUUGAGCUAAGGAGGAUUGAGGCAUCAAGGGAAAUUGCUGGAACCCUUGCUAAGUCACCCAACGUGCAAUAUAUUCCUGGUGGACAAAACAUGCUUCUCGCUAUGAAUCCAUCUAGGCCAUGAUGUUUCAGGGAUGAAUACAUACAGAAUGGAAUACAUACAGAAUGGAGAUUUCGAACCUUCCAAGAGCUUAUGACUUGGAACGAGGCUCGACUGGUUGUGAAUUUACGUAUUUUUAUUGCAUUAUCAUUGAUGGGAACUUUGUGAUGUUUGAAACAAUCUUAUGUCUAGGAAAAAGAAAAUAAAGUUUGAAGGACCAUGCUUAGCUUUAAGGUGUUUUUGAUGUCCAGUUGGAGAACAUGUGCUUUUUAGAAUUAGAUUACUAGUAGAAAUCAGUGAUUUUAGAACUUUAAAGAUGGUUUUGAUGCUAAAUAUAUGUCCGCUUCUUAUUGUUCCCAAAGUAUUCCUUAAUCUUACCAUGUAAGGUUGCUUAUUGAUAAUAAAAUUCUUCGACGGUAUCAGUUAA